RNAcentral lists this ribosomal RNA (647 nucleotides) under uncultured bacterium. RNAcentral describes it as "bacterial SSU rRNA". It matches the Rfam family "Bacterial small subunit ribosomal RNA", at positions 50 to 685 of the family's 1533-position model. The record is from RNAcentral. RNAcentral also lists the same sequence under 1 other name.
AACACAUGCAAGUCGAACGGAAACGAUGGGAGCUUGCUCCCAGGCGUCGAGUGGCGGACGGGUGAGUAAUACUUAGGAAUCUGCCCAUUAGUGGGGGACAACUCGGGGAAACUCGAGCUAAUACCGCAUACGCCCUACGGGGGAAAGCGGGGGAUCUUCGGACCUCGCGCUAAUGGAUGAGCCUAAGUCGGAUUAGCUAGUUGGUGAGGUAAAAGCUCACCAAGGCGACGAUCCGUAGCUGGUCUGAGAGGACGAUCAGCCACACUGGGACUGAGACACGGCCCAGACUCCUACGGGAGGCAGCAGUGGGGAAUAUGGACAAUGGGGGCAACCCUGAUCCAGCAAUGCCGCGUGUGUGAAGAAGGCCUGCGGGUUGUAAAGCACUUUCAGUAGAGAAGAAAAGCUUAGGCUUAAUACGCCUGAGUCUUGACGUAACCUACAGAAGAAGCUCCGGCUAACUCCGUGCCAGCAGCCGCGGUAAUACGGAGGGAGCGAGCGUUAACUCGGAAUUACUGGGCGUAAAGCGCGCGUAGGCGGCUUUUGUAAAGUCGGAUGUGAAAGCCCUGGGCUUAACCAUGGGAAUGGCAUUCGAUACUGCAGAGCUAGAGUAUGGUAGAGGGAAGUGGAAUUUCCGGUGUAGCGGUGAC